AGGAGGAGCUGGCAUUCCCUGGGAGCUCCCAGCCAAUAUGGAGCCUCCAAACGAGGCUGCAGGAAGAGCCUGCUGCGGGCUAGCGACGGAGGGCUCGGAGAGGUCAGCCGCACGUCUGCCAGGACUGCCCUGCCCUAGAUUAAAGAUGUCUUCUCUUAUGUAACACUUUCUGAAAACACCGCUUCCCAGGCAAACCUCAGCUGUGAUCCGAACAGGCUCCUAUUGACUGAGAGCAAAGCCUGGGAUGACUAAGGUGCAUUGUAAUAAUGGGCCUCCAUGCCGGAGGAUUAGCAUGUAACAUUCAGAAAUCAUUACACAACCCUCACAUAGCGAGCCUUCAAUCAGCCAGGGCAGUUGGGUCAACGAAUGCCAUUCUUCUGCAAUCAUGUCCACAAAUGCCAAAAUACACACGCUUACUCCCGACUUUUUUUUAAAGGAAGAAAAAUAAAUAAGAUCCCGAGUAUUUCCUACAGGGAAAUAAGAAGAUCAGGGAGGAAGCUGCAGAUGGAGCUAUUUCCUUUGCCGAUUUCCAACUGGCAAAAAGACAGCAGAGAAAAUGUGAGCACACCCAGCAAGUCAAGAAAGCCCUCAGGAAGAGCAGCUGAAGCCAGAACCUCCCUGAUGUCUUAGAGCUUCCAAAUACUCAGUACAAAACCUUCAAGUGCUUAGGAGGUAGAGCCUCAUUUCAAGGUUCCAUCCUUUCAAUUCCACAUUGAGGUUGUUUGGGGUGAUGGCUUCACCUCUUCUGAUCCUCUUUUGGGUUAUGAGGUUGUAUGACUCCCUCAUAGACAGUAAGUAUUAGCAGGGCGCUCUGAGUAUGUCAGGCUCCAUUCCAUAUCUAGCACCCAGGAUAUGUAGGUCACUGCAUACGGUGCUAUGGAGAAGGAAGUACACAGGACUUGGAUAACUUUUACUCAGCUCUCAGUGUGCUUAUAGUCUGAGAAGGGAACAUGAUGGGAGGCCAGUGACUAGAAUAAAAAGGGACCUCCUUUCUUACCUGUGCUUUGG
Molecule: long non-coding RNA, 1008 nt
Filed under: Monodelphis domestica (gray short-tailed opossum)
Lineage: Eukaryota; Metazoa; Chordata; Mammalia; Didelphimorphia; Didelphidae
Description: lncRNA (ENSMODG00000036716.1)
Source: RNAcentral